GAUGAACGUUGGCGGCGUGCCUAAUACAUGCAAGUCGAACGCGAAGCUUGGAUUCGUCUAGGCGGAGAGUGGCGGACGGGUGAGUAACACAUGGCUGACCUGCCCUUCAGCGGGGGACAACCACUGGAAACGGUGGCUAAUACCCCAUAUGCUCACGGUGAUUAGAAAACUGUGAGGAAAAUUCCGGUGCUGAAGGAGGGGGCUGUGGCCCAUCAGCUAGUUGGUGAGGUAACGGCUCACCAAGGCGAGGACGGGUAGGGGGCCUGAGAGGGUGACCCCCCACACGGGUACUGAGAAACGGACCCGACACCUACGGGUGGCUG
Molecule: ribosomal RNA, 323 nt
Filed under: uncultured Chloroflexota bacterium
Lineage: Bacteria; Bacillati; Chloroflexota
Description: bacterial SSU rRNA
Rfam family: Bacterial small subunit ribosomal RNA
Source: RNAcentral